Long non-coding RNA from Rhododendron vialii, 880 nucleotides. RefSeq lists it as uncharacterized. The record is from RefSeq and is a predicted model, not a curated record. NCBI's taxonomy places the organism in Eukaryota, Viridiplantae, Streptophyta, Magnoliopsida, Ericales, Ericaceae. The transcript is spliced from 2 exons.
AGCAUUUAGGCUCCCUGGGCGAAGUUUUUUGUGCUUCGUUCUCCUUGAUUUUCGGUGGAAUGCGUUGUGAUUGGGGUGGGUUUUUUUUUUUUCCAGUGGUUGGACGCUCUCUCGCCCUCUGUCGAUAGUUUAGGGUAUUGAUUUUGCACAUAUAUAUUGUUGUUGAAAAUAGCCGUGAUGAUCAAUUUUUUGGGGUUCAAAUCAAUAUUUGAAGAACGCUCCCUCUAAUGAAUAGGUCUAAAAGUGCUUGAUUUCUAUGUACGGCAAAAUCGUAGUACUUUAGAACCUGUUACUAUUAUAUACACAGAUUAUUUGUUUUUCUACUUAUUUGAGCAGAUAUCUACCAGAAAUUGGGGUAUUAAACGUUUUAAGGAGUACACAAAGCAAUCAAUUUUUAGCUCUACAAAACCUUGGUCAGACAAGUUGAAUAGAAAAUAAACACAAGAACGCAAUCCAUAAUAAUCGAGACUAGCACAGUACCACCUCAAAUUUCAGAAAUGUGAGAAGUCAGCAUAAAUUACUUCAGGCCAGACAGAACCAAAGGCUUAUGCGAAUAGGAGUAGCGUUUAGGGUUUGGUGUUGCCUCCAAGUGUUGCUGCGGUUACUACUGCGAUUCACGCACUAUGGUUAUUGAGAAUCCGUUUGUUUUCUGCACUUUUGAAAGGCAUCCAACUGCUGGAAAAGGAAUGGGUGGCUUUUUUUAUGCUCUUAUUGCUACGGCUGAAAAAGUGGUUGUUGCUGUAUCGCACUGAGAAGAAGAUGAUACCACCGUUUACAAACCAGAUUACAAAUUCAUUCAUGAUUAUGGUGAGCGGUUAGGAUUGGUGGGUAUUUGCACAGCACUCCAGGUAUUUGCUUAGUAUCUGCGUAUAUUAAUGUU